Molecule: long non-coding RNA, 182 nt
Organism: Dipodomys spectabilis (banner-tailed kangaroo rat)
Lineage: Eukaryota; Metazoa; Chordata; Mammalia; Rodentia; Heteromyidae
Exons: 3
Source: RefSeq, a predicted model, not a curated record
CCCCACAGGGUGCUCAUGAAGAACUGAGCAAGCUCUGCUUUUGUAUUGCAUGUCUCUCUCUCAGGUUUGUCUUCCUAUCGUAUUUGGUAUUCCAUGACUAAUUGAGAUCAGCACUAUGUAGGUUUAGAUCUUAAGAUGAGGAACAAAUAGAAUUGUACAUGUUUUCAAAGGAUGACAUUUAC